RNAcentral lists this ribosomal RNA (642 nucleotides) under Aspergillus quadricinctus. RNAcentral's name for it is "eukaryotic LSU rRNA". It matches the Rfam family "Eukaryotic large subunit ribosomal RNA", at positions 1 to 657 of the family's 3401-position model. The record is from RNAcentral. Lineage: Eukaryota; Fungi; Ascomycota; Eurotiomycetes; Eurotiales; Aspergillaceae.
UUGACCUCGGAUCAGGUAGGGAUACCCGCUGAACUUAAGCAUAUCAAUAAGCGGAGGAAAAGAAACCAACAGGGAUUGCCUCAGUAACGGCGAGUGAAGCGGCAAGAGCUCAAAUUUGAAAGCUGGCCCCUUCGGGGUCCGCGUUGUAAUUUGCAGAGGAUGCUUCGGGUGCAGCCCCCGUCUAAGUGCCCUGGAACGGGCCGUCAUAGAGGGUGAGAAUCCCGUCUGGGACGGGGUGUCUGCGUCCGUGUGAAGCUCCUUCGACGAGUCGAGUUGUUUGGGAAUGCAGCUCUAAAUGGGUGGUAAAUUUCAUCUAAAGCUAAAUACUGGCCGGAGACCGAUAGCGCACAAGUAGAGUGAUCGAAAGAUGAAAAGCACUUUGAAAAGAGAGUUAAACAGCACGUGAAAUUGUUGAAAGGGAAGCGUUUGCGACCAGACUCGCCCGCGGGGUUCAGCCGGCACUCGUGCCGGUGUACUUCCCCGUGGGCGGGCCAGCGUCGGUUUGGGCGGCCGGUCAAAGGCCCUCGGAAUGUAUCACCUCUCGGGGUGUCUUAUAGCCGAGGGUGCAAUGCGGCCUGUCCGGACCGAGGAACGCGCUUCGGCUCGGACGCUGGCGUAAUGGUCGUAAAUGACCCGUCUUGA